Molecule: ribosomal RNA, 395 nt
Filed under: uncultured Glomeraceae
Lineage: Eukaryota; Fungi; Glomeromycota; Glomeromycetes; Glomerales; Glomeraceae
Description: eukaryotic LSU rRNA
Source: RNAcentral
GUGAAAUUGUUGAAAGGGAAACGAUUGAAGCCAGUCGUACCUAUGGGUAAUCAGCCUUUUGGGUGUGAUUCUGUGGAACGUGAGGAGUUAAACGCCUUCAUGCCUGCAUAUUCGUGCACUUUGGGUGUACUUGCCCGUAUGGUUGGUUAACAUCAAUUUUGGUUGUCAUAAAAUGACUGGAGGAAUGUAGCUUCGAUCUCGGUUGAAGUGUUAUAGCCUUUGGUAGAUGUAAUGAUUGGGAUUGAGGAUUGCAACGGAUACCCUCUGGGCUAUUCGUCUGAUCUCUGGAAGUUACUUUGGUGUCGAAAGCGUGCUUACGAUAUUAAGGUUGACGGCCAAUAGGUUAGAACGUGAUUAAAUUCGUUAAGGAUGUUGACGUAAUGGCUUUAAACGAC